Molecule: ribosomal RNA, 447 nt
Filed under: uncultured bacterium
Lineage: Bacteria
Description: partial 16S ribosomal RNA
Rfam family: Bacterial small subunit ribosomal RNA
Source: RNAcentral
AACGAACGCUGGCGGCAGGCUUAACACAUGCAAGUCGAGCGCCCCGCAAGGGGAGCGGCAGACGGGUGAGUAACACGUGGGAACCUUCCUAGAGGUACGGAACAACUCAGGGAAACUUGAGCUAAUACCGUAUACGCUCUUGCGAGGAAAGAUUUAUCGCCUUUAGACGGGCCCGCGUCGGAUUAGCUAGUUGGUGGGGUAACGGCCUACCAAGGCGACGAUCCGUAGCUGAUAUGAGAGGAUGAUCAGCCACACUGGGACUGAGACACGGCCCAGACUCCUACGGGAGGCAGCAGUGGGGAAGCUUGGACAAUGGGCGCAAGCCUGAUCCAGCCAUGCCGCGUGAGUGAAGAAGGCCUUCGGGUUGUAAAGCUCUUUUGCCAGGGACGAUAAUGACGGUACCUGGAGAAUAAGCCCCGGCAAACUUCGUGCCAGCAGCCGCCGUAA